Molecule: long non-coding RNA, 753 nt
Filed under: Physcomitrium patens
Lineage: Eukaryota; Viridiplantae; Streptophyta; Bryopsida; Funariales; Funariaceae
Description: long non-coding RNA (PPAT_LNC003664)
Source: RNAcentral
AUAAUACUAAGCAAGCUUAAUCAAAUUCAAAAAAAAAUUCAAAAAAAUUUCAAACCAACAAUAAGAAUUCCUAAAGAAAUAUUACAAUAAUCACAAAUAUCAUUCAAAUACAUCUCAAUUCAAUCUUUAUUUAAUUCUAGUCAAAAUCCUAUUACACUUCAUUCAAACUUUAGACCAAAACUAAUUAAAUCUUAAAUCCUAAUAAAAUCCUAAAUCCUAAAUCAAAUCCUAAAAAAAUCUUAAAUCAAAUCCCAAUCAAAUCCUAAACCAAAUUAUAACCAAAUCCUAAAUCAAAUCCUAAACCCUAAAUCAAACCCUAACCAAAUCCUAAUCCAAAUCCUAAACCCUAAAACAAACCCUAAUCCAAAUUCUAAACUCUAAAUAAAAUCCUAAUCAAAUCUUAAAUUCUAAUCUAAAUCCUAAAUCAAAUCCUAAUUCAAAUCCUAAAUCCUAAACCAAACCCUAAUCCUAAAUUCUAAACCAAAUCCUAAACCAAAUCCUAAUCCUAAAUCAAAUCCUAAUCUAAAUCCUAAUCAAAUCUUAAACCCUAAAUCAAAUCCUAAUCCAAAUCCUAAUCAAAUCUUAAAUCCUAAAUCAAAUCUUAAUCCAAACUUUAAAUCCUAAACCAAAUCCUAACCGAAUCCUAAAUCCUAAAUCCUAAAUCAAACCCUAAUCCAAACCCUAAUCAAACCUUAAACCAAACCCUAAUCAAACCUUAAACCAAACCCUAAACCAAAUCCUAAUCAAAUCCUA